GACGACAGUGCGACCUACAAAUUAACAAUCCCCUCGCCUUUUACUAGGGGAUUCCGUGUUGGUCGUACAUAUAGUCGUUGUUCAAAUAUUUGGGUUUUCACUUCGCUUUGUGCAAG
RNAcentral lists this small nuclear RNA (116 nucleotides) under Lentinula edodes (shiitake mushroom). Its description in RNAcentral is "U5 spliceosomal RNA". It matches the Rfam family "U5 spliceosomal RNA". Rfam says of the family: U5 RNA is a component of both types of known spliceosome. The precise function of this molecule is unknown, though it is known that the 5' loop is required for splice site selection and p220 binding, and that both the 3' stem-loop and the Sm site are important for Sm protein binding and cap methylation. The record is from Rfam by way of RNAcentral. Lineage: Eukaryota; Fungi; Basidiomycota; Agaricomycetes; Agaricales; Omphalotaceae.